This is a long non-coding RNA of Corapipo altera (White-ruffed manakin), 122 nucleotides long. RefSeq lists it as uncharacterized. Lineage: Eukaryota; Metazoa; Chordata; Aves; Passeriformes; Pipridae. The transcript has 3 exons. The record is from RefSeq and is a predicted model, not a curated record.
AGGUUCAUCUGCCAGGGCCUAGCAAGCUUGGACGGUGGCAGCGAGGUCCUCAGGAUGUAGGUUUACUUAGAGUAUCCUCUUAGAUGGAUGGUCUUACAGGGCUGAGGAGCUCCAUCUGGCCG